RNAcentral lists this ribosomal RNA (421 nucleotides) under uncultured bacterium. RNAcentral describes it as "partial 16S ribosomal RNA". It matches the Rfam family "Bacterial small subunit ribosomal RNA", at positions 360 to 773 of the family's 1533-position model. The record is from RNAcentral.
AAUUUUGGACAAUGGGGGCAACCCUGAUCCAGCCAUCCCGCGUGUGCGAUGAAGGCCNNNGGGUUNUCAAGCACUUUUGGCAGNGAANAAAAGGCUCUGGCUAAUACCUGGAGCUGCUGACGGUACCUGCAGAAUAAGCACCGGCUAACUACGUGCCAGCAGCCGCGGUAAUACGUAGGGUGCAAGCGUUAAUCGGAAUUACUGGGCGUAAAGCGGGCGCAGGCGGUUCCGGCAGGAAGAUGGUGAAACCCCGGGCUUAAACCUGGGACUGCAUUCUUAACUGCCGGGCUAGAGUAAGUCAGAGGGGGGUAGAAUUCCGCGUGUAGCAGUGGAAUGCGUAGGGGUGCGGAGGAAUACCGAUUGCGAAGGCAGCCCCCUGGGAUAAUACUUACGCUCAUGCACGAAAGCGUGGGGAGCAAAC